Molecule: long non-coding RNA, 1260 nt
Filed under: Eucalyptus grandis
Lineage: Eukaryota; Viridiplantae; Streptophyta; Magnoliopsida; Myrtales; Myrtaceae
Description: long non-coding RNA (EGRA_LNC000039)
Source: RNAcentral
UAUAGUCAUACAUAUCAUGAGAUUUCAAUCCGACUCACAUCAGCUCACCUUAUGUAACCCUAAAGCCACAAACUUUUGUUAUUUUUACCAUAUGCCCACCUCCCUCUUGUGUAAAGCUCCCAGUCAAGUGGUUACACAGGCUCAACAAACUUCCCAAUAGCUUCUCAACAAUGAGAAGUCUGAGAUGGACAAAUAACAAUAUCAAGUGCAGGCAAAAUAAUUGACCCGUAUCCCAUUAGAAAUGCAGUGCUUCUCUGAAACAUGAUACAAGGGAUUAAUUUGUCUGGUUUUGUCUUAACUCUGUAAAUAAUUUACAAUCAGAUGGCAUGUAGGACUUACCAAUCAUCACAGCUACAAUUCCUAAUAGCAAUUGAAUGAUCGUCUGAUUUUUUAAACUAGAGUUAAAAGGAUGCAAUAAAUGUCCAGAGAUGGAAAUUCCAGAGUUUCAUGAUUAUUCGGGACAAUCACAGAGGUUACAACAUUAUUUUGUCAUCUAAUAAUAAGCACUGUCAUGUGGAAUCAAUAUUGGCAAAGUCAGAUCGAAGUGGCUGGCUUCCCUAGAGAGAAUAGAUACAUAGCAAAGUAGUUUAGAUACUAUAAGGAAGAUAAAUAUCAACAAACUUUCAGAAAAAGUCAGACAAGUGAAUGAAGCAUGGGUUUUUCCAUGACAAGAAUGGUUACAGGUCAAUACCAAUAUGUCCUUUUGAUAGAUAUUUUCAUUUUGGAUAGCUUAAUGUACUGAUAUGUCAGUAUUGGCUAGUGAUAUUCUCUACUUUAGGACGACAGAUGUGUGAGGACAUAAUGUGGACAACUGCACAGACUUUGUGCCAUGUCGACUAGAGCCAGGAACUUUAUAAUCCUAACUGAGAGUAGACAAGCUAUUAGAAUAUCAUUCAGUGUAGCUAUGAAACUGAAAGUGGCAACAAAUACGCCAUGAGGCACUUUCAAGAGAAUAAAACCAAACGGUAGAAAGAAAAUGCUAAAUCAACAGAAUAAUAAUGGAACAGAGGCGCAGCUGACUGUGAUUAGUCAGUGAAGGGUAAUGUAAAUAAAGGAUGCUGGAAAAGGUCGUCAAACAGUUAGCACGUUUCUAAACUUCAAAUGUAGGGACUCUCACUGGGGAGGAUUUUGUUCUCCAAACCUAGAAAACUAUGGUGAAAAUGCUCAGCUGCUAUGCUAACCGACGACCUCAGAGAAACCCAUGAUAUGCUAACUAAUAACCAGAUAAGCGCCCCCAUUUAUGGACAGUCCUCAUUGGUG